UGCUCAGGCGGAUAUGUAAGUCAGAGGUGAAACUCCGAAGCUUAACUUCGGAACUGCCUUUGAUACUGCAGAUCUGGAGUUUGAGAGAGGGUAAUGGAAUAUCUGGUGUAGCAGUGAAAUGCGUAAAUAUCAGAUAGAACACCAAUGGCGAAGGCAGUUACCUGGCUCAACACUGACGCUAAAGCACGAAAGUGUGGGGAGCGAACAGGAUUAGAUACCCUGGUAGUCCACACCCUAAACGAUGAAUACUAGAUGUUGGUUUUUUUAAAGAUCAGUAUCUGAGCUAACGCAUUAAGUAUUCCACCUGGGAAGUACGAUCGCAAGGUUAGAA
This 331-nucleotide ribosomal RNA is filed under the name uncultured bacterium. Its description in RNAcentral is "bacterial SSU rRNA". It matches the Rfam family "Bacterial small subunit ribosomal RNA", at positions 568 to 899 of the family's 1533-position model. The record is from RNAcentral.